Molecule: ribosomal RNA, 428 nt
Filed under: uncultured bacterium
Lineage: Bacteria
Description: bacterial SSU rRNA
Rfam family: Bacterial small subunit ribosomal RNA
Source: RNAcentral
UGGGGAAUUUUGGACAAUGGGGGCAACCCUGAUCCAGCCAUGCCGCGUGCGGGAAGAAGGCCUUCGGGUUGUAAACCGCUUUUGGUCGGGAAGAAAGGGCGCAGGCUAAUACCUUGCGCUGUUGACGGUACCGGCAGAAUAAGCACCGGCUAACUACGUGCCAGCAGCCGCGGUAAUACGUAGGGUGCGAGCGUUAAUCGGAAUUACUGGGCGUAAAGCGUGCGCAGGCGGUUCGUUGUGUCUGAUGUGAAAGCCCCGGGCUCAACCUGGGAAUGGCAUUGGAAACUGGCGAGCUAGAGUGUGGCAGAGGGGGGUGGAAUUCCGCGUGUAGCAGUGAAAUGCGUAGAGAUGCGGAGGAACACCGAUGGCGAAGGCAGCCCCCUGGGCUGACACUGACGCUCAGGCACGAAAGCGUGGGGAGCAAACAG